AUUGAACGCUGGCGGCAGGCCUAACACAUGCAAGUCGAGCGGAUGAAGGGAGCUUGCUCCUGGAUUCAGCGGCGGACGGGUGAGUAAUGCCUAGGAAUCUGCCUGGUAGUGGGGGAUAACGUCCGGAAACGGGCGCUAAUACCGCAUACGUCCUGAGGGAGAAAGUGGGGGAGCUUUGGACCUCACGCUAUCAGAUGAGCCUAGGUCGGAUUAGCUAGUUGGUGGGGUAAAGGCCUACCAAGGCGACGAUCCGUAACUGGUCUGAGAGGAUGAUCAGUCACACUGGAACUGAGACACGGUCCAGACUCCUACGGGAGGCAGCAGUGGGGAAUAUUGGACAAUGGGCGAAAGCCUGAUCCAGCCAUGCCGCGUGUGUGAAGAAGGUCUUCGGAUUGUAAAGCACUUUAAGUUGGGAGGAAGGGCAGUAAGUUAAUACCUUGCUGUUUUGACGUUACCAACAGAAUAAGCACCGGCUAACUUCGUG
RNAcentral lists this ribosomal RNA (484 nucleotides) under uncultured bacterium. Its description in RNAcentral is "partial 16S ribosomal RNA". It matches the Rfam family "Bacterial small subunit ribosomal RNA", at positions 30 to 507 of the family's 1533-position model. The record is from RNAcentral.